UAUUAGUGGCAGACGGGUGAGUAUGCAUAGGAAUCUACCUAGUAGUAUAGGAUAGCCACUAGAAAUGGUGGGUAAUACUGUACAAUCCCUGCGGGGGAAAGACUUAUCGCUACAUGAUGAGCCUAUGUUAGAUUAGCUAGUUGGUGGGGUAAUGGCCUACCAAGGCAGUGAUCUAUAGCUGGUCUGAGAGGAUGAUCAGCCACACUGGAACUGAGACACGGUCCAGACUCCUACGGGAGGCAGCAGUGGGGAAUAUUGGACAAUGGGCGCAAGCCUGAUCCAGCUAUGCCGCGUGAGUGAGGAAGGCCUUAGGGUUGUAAAACUCUUUCAGUAGGGAAGAUAAUGA
This 346-nucleotide ribosomal RNA is filed under the name Anaplasma phagocytophilum. Its description in RNAcentral is "bacterial SSU rRNA". It matches the Rfam family "Bacterial small subunit ribosomal RNA", at positions 90 to 454 of the family's 1533-position model. The record is from RNAcentral. Lineage: Bacteria; Pseudomonadati; Pseudomonadota; Alphaproteobacteria; Rickettsiales; Anaplasmataceae.